GGGCCGGUAGCUCAGUCAGGCAGAGCGUCUGGCUUUUAACCAGAUGGGCGGGGGUUCAAAUCCCUCUCGGCCCG
Molecule: transfer RNA, 74 nt
Filed under: Halobacteriales archaeon SW_7_71_33
Lineage: Archaea; Methanobacteriati; Methanobacteriota; Halobacteria; Halobacteriales
Description: tRNA-Lys
Rfam family: tRNA
About the family: Transfer RNA (tRNA) molecules are approximately 80 nucleotides in length.
Source: RNAcentral